CAGAUUAAAUGAAAAAUAAGAGAAAACAGUGAACACCUUCCACGUUUAUGGCGCAUGGUGCAGAGCACUGAUAACGUACGUCUAAUGCUGACAAACAAAACGACCAGAAUACAGCGUCGCUAAAGCCUCAAAAUCAAACCUGUCAUGGCGAUGACACUGUUGAUCUCUGUGAGGAGAUGCUACAGAUCUCCAUGUUGGUGAAGGAGCUCCCGGCCUCGCUGCCGCAUUCUGGGUACGAAGAGCUGGAGGAAAUGAUGUUCUUCAGCCUGUGGAGAGCAAUGAUCAGCAGGGCAACCUGCGUAUCGGUGGGCUUGUGAGCUGGUGCGGGUUGUUGAUAGGCCACCGACGGUCCAUUAGGACUUUGGGGUGGUCACAUCGGCUCAGUGGUGCACACAGAAGAACAAAUUAACUCAUACAAGUUUUGAAGUACGAGGGUGAAAUAGAAAAAGGUGCCGAAAGAAGGUUGCUAAGAUAAUAAAAAGAGAGUCUGGAGCGGACUGGCAUAUGGAUGGAGCUUGGGAUGCAAGCGCUGGGGCAGAGCUAUGCAUGUCAAUAGGACCGAGGCGCCAUGCCUCCUGGGAAGGUCUUAUCUCUUCUGCUCUGUGCACUGAAGACACGGAACACAAGCUUAUGGAUCAACUCAAAGCAAAACAUGACUGUCUCUUCUGUUAUUUUGUAUCAUGGGAAUUUUGUUUCAGUAUUAAUGAAAGCUAGCUAGCAUUCUUACUCAUUGAUCACCAGUGAUUUAUCUUGGAGCAGUAGAAUACUCUCUGUUCCUCUUAAAGGUACAGUUCACUAAACAUGAAAUUCUGUCAUCAUUUAUUCACCCUUGAGUCAUUUCAAAACUGUUUUUGUCUAUGCAGGUCAGUAAGGUCCAAUACAAGGUGUGUAACAAUAAGGUACAUAAAAAACUGUGCAAUUUACUGUUAAAAAAACAAGCUAUGGUUACCAGACUUAUUUCCAUAAAGAUAUGCUGGAAACUAUUUUGUUUUACAUUUUAAGCUUAAGUUUUAAGUAUAUUCAAAGGGUGCAUUGUCUUUGUUAUAAAAAUAUUUUCCAUUGUUUCAAACCUUUUUGUUUUGUGUUCCACAGAAGAAAGAAAUUCAUAUGAAAUGAGGGUGAGUAAAUAAUGACCGAACAUUUUUGGCUGAACUACCUCUUUAACAUUCAUCUGAGUAUUCACUCUCUUCAUAACAUGUGCAAGGACAGGAGAGGGCAAUUUCUGCCUCUAGACGUAUAUUGGCGGCGUUCCACUGUCAGCUCAGUUGCCCACUGGGGACCAUUGGUACCCUUCCUGAGUCCUGCUGUGUCUGAUCCUGUCCUUUGGGUCUUUAUAAUUGCACCAGCUAAUGCCGGCGCUGAGGCACAUGAGUAAAUGCUGUUGGAUUUUGAUAAGAACAGUGCCUUGGCUGAUUUUUCCUCUAAUCCGUGGAAACUGUAAAAAUCAGAGAAGGUUUCUUAUUCCCUUGAUGCAAGCGAUUCAACCAGCUUUGGUGCAUCUAUUCCCUGCACUCAAGUAGGUCGAAUGUUAACGCAUGGCAUUCGGAGGCAAGGCCGUCUGAAGCAUUUUUCAUUAGACUGUGAGCUAACUUGAGGGGGAAUGGGUCGCAUUGAUAAUGAAUCAUCCGCUCACCCUGAGUCUGCUCUACUGAUUUUGACAAGAAUGUCAUGUUUGAAGAAGCUUUGUGGCAGACAACAGCAAUGUGUCACUCAGGAUUAUCCUGUGGAAUUCUCUAGGCACUAUGGGAAGGUUUACACAGUGAAGCAUGUCAGAGUCGGAGAGCACACUCUUCUCUCUUUCUAUUUCCCGUUUUCCAUUUUAUUUCCCUGCUGAAAUGAUGCUCUUUGCAUAGCAAUCCAAAUCUCAGAGGUCUCUGUAUUUCUCUGACAGCUCAGACAGAGUCACCUUCUAGUGGUCUAGCAGCUGCCAGCAUAUCAGGCACACUUGUACAUUUAUAGACACUGAUAUGGAUUUUAAAUAAAAGAAACACAAAAAAUGUACAAAACAUUUCAUAGAUAAAUGUGUAUUUAAUAAUUUGGCUUACAUUUCUGGAUAAAGGGAUGGAUAUGAAACAAGGCUAACUGUCAUUAUAUUUAUUUUUAUUUUAAAACCUUUUAAAAGUUUAAUGCAGGCAUGCACAUGAAUCAUGUACUUGUAUAAGUUUUGAGUUCAUUUAAUUAAAAAGUCUAAAAAGUUGUUUUUCUUAGAGAAGUUGUAGGCUUCGAACUUGAAAACUUAAUAAUAAAAAGUUAAUGUAAUGGUCAUUUAAAUUGCAUGUUAAAGAACUUACAUAUCGUGCCAAAAUAGCAAGACAUAUAUUUGAUAUUAUUUAUCAAUCAUUUAAUUUAAAACUUUAAUUUUUGUCAGUAAAAAGGCCUUUUUCUCAGAGAAAGUAUGAAAAUACCAAGAAAGAUUCUAAUUUAAAUAGAUAAAUUGUUUCAUUUAAUUGGAUUAAAUAUAAAGUGCCCUUCACAAUUAUUGGCAUCCUUGCUUAAGGUCGUGGACUUCUAAAAACAAAAUCAUGUGUCCCGCAAUUAUUGGCACCCCUAACAAGCUCACUGUCACAGAAUGCAUCCAAGGGUGGCAUCUUGGGGUCUCCAUAACAACCAUCAGACGCUCUCUACAUGCCAACAAGCUGUUUGGGAGGCAUGCAAAGAAAAAGCCUGGAGUUUGCUAAGUGGUACUGGGACUUUAACUGGGAACCUGGGAACCUUGUUAGGGGACAUGGCAUUAUAAACGC
Long non-coding RNA from Puntigrus tetrazona (Sumatra barb), 2741 nucleotides. RefSeq lists it as uncharacterized. The record is from RefSeq and is a predicted model, not a curated record. The transcript is spliced from 6 exons. Lineage: Eukaryota; Metazoa; Chordata; Actinopteri; Cypriniformes; Cyprinidae.